Molecule: ribosomal RNA, 401 nt
Filed under: uncultured Glomus
Lineage: Eukaryota; Fungi; Glomeromycota; Glomeromycetes; Glomerales; Glomeraceae
Description: SSU rRNA
Rfam family: Eukaryotic small subunit ribosomal RNA
Source: RNAcentral
AGCAGCCGCGGUAAUUCCAGCUCCAAUAGCGUAUAUUAAAGUUGUUGCAGUUAAAAAGCUCGUAGUUGAAUUUCGGGGUUAGCAAGUUGGUCGUGCCUUUGGUAUGCACUGGCUUUGCUGAUUCCUCCUUCUUGAAGAACUGUGAUGCUAUUAAUUUGGUGUUGCAGGGAAACAGGACUGUUACUUUGAAAAAUUAGAGUGUUUAAAGCAGGCUAACGCUUGAAUACAUUAGCAUGGAAUAAUGAAAUAGGACGUUUGAUCCUAUUUUGUUGGUUUCUAGGAUUGACGUAAUGAUUAAUAGGGUAGUUGGGGGCAUUAGUAUUCAAUUGUCAGAGGUGAAAUUCUUGGAUUUAUUGAAGACUAACUACUGCGAAAGCAUUUGCCAAGGAUGUUUCAUUAAU